Molecule: long non-coding RNA, 1113 nt
Organism: Colossoma macropomum (tambaqui)
Lineage: Eukaryota; Metazoa; Chordata; Actinopteri; Characiformes; Serrasalmidae
Exons: 3
Source: RefSeq, a predicted model, not a curated record
CUGCACUGGGACUGAGAAUUAACUUUUCCCGGGCAGACUGGGCAUCUUCCUUGGCUGUAGGAUACAGCCUGCUUGCCGCUCUAGAUUUUAUGGAUCCUGGAUAACACGGAUCCAUCUGCCUCUGUGGGGGAAAAGGAGAGAAGUGGUCCUGAGAUGUCUGAUCGAAUACAUGGGGGAGAGACAAGAAGAACUCAUCACUGACCACCACACUCACAAUGAAACCAACGUGCAAGCCGAACUCAGCAGUUGCCUGAUGAAAAUUUAUGUGUGCCAUCAGCCUGAUGCCAUUGGCAUCAUCAUGGAAGGACAGCCAGUGACAUCUAUCAAAAACCUAAACCAAACGACCUAUCAAAAGCAUGCUGCCUGCUCUUUGGACUUGCCUAUGCCCUGGAACUUAAGUAUGCACCGAAACUUGUGCACACUUUUGAGACCUAUCAGAGCAUUUUUGUUGGAAUGGAUCACAUGCGCCCUAAACCAUCAUCUAAAUACACAAAUGUCUUAGAUUACUUCUCAAUAACUUUUGCCAUUAUUAAAAAAUGCAAGUAAUCUCAACUUGAUAGCCUUAAAACUGACUUGACAGUUGAGUGUUUUCAGUUUGAUCUGUUACAUAUGUUGAAAAUAAGUUGUCUUUUGGCAAGUUACUCAUGUGACAGAAUUACAGUUAGUGUUUUCUUUUUGUGAUCAUUCUAAUGUGCUUCUGAUGAAAAUAGACUUUGGACUGUGUUCUGUACCAGUCAUUACCUCAUGAGGUAAAUAGACAACAGUAUUGUGUGAACAAUUCAGUUCUUUAAAAAUAAUGUUUGUUUAAAAUAGGGCUGAAAAUAUAGUCAAAAACCAUAUUUGAUGCAAUUACUUUGACAGAUACAGCAAUUUCACUGAGUCAGUGUAAUGUUAUGUCUCGCAUUUACCUUAAUCAAAACAUUGCAGCUUUGGAAAUUUGAAUAUUUUGUGCCUAAUUGUUAAUUCCUACUUCAAAAUCCAUAUAUACUUGAGUCAAUUUUUUAUUUGUUUUUAUUGAUGAUUUUCGUUAACAUUUAUGGCCACAUUUAUGAUCUGUUUUCCAGUCAUUGUUAGAAGUGAAAUUGGUUGCUAAACAUUAAACAAAUAUUCUAA